Molecule: ribosomal RNA, 253 nt
Filed under: uncultured bacterium
Lineage: Bacteria
Description: partial 16S ribosomal RNA
Rfam family: Bacterial small subunit ribosomal RNA
Source: RNAcentral
UACGAAGGGGGCUAGCGUUGUUCGGAAUUACUGGGCGUAAAGCGCGCGCAGGCGGCCUUCCAAGUCAGGGGUGAAAGCCCAGAGCUCAACUCUGGAAUUGCCUUUGAGACUGUGAGGCUUGAGUACGGGAGAGGUGAGUGGAAUUCCCAGUGUAGAGGUGAAAUUCGUAGAUAUUGGGAAGAACACCGGUGGCGAAGGCGGCUCACUGGCCCGAAACUGACGCUCAUGCACGACAGCGUGGGGAUCAAACAGG